RNAcentral lists this ribosomal RNA (807 nucleotides) under Triticum aestivum (bread wheat). RNAcentral describes it as "partial small subunit ribosomal RNA". The record is from RNAcentral. Lineage: Eukaryota; Viridiplantae; Streptophyta; Magnoliopsida; Poales; Poaceae.
AUGGAGAACCAACAAGUUGGAAAUCACGGUCUUCAUUGGACAUCCUCAAUGUCCACCUAUAUGCUUACUCACUUUACCAACGUCGUGGCUAAUGGCACUAAGACAUCAACAUGCUUUAAGACGGUGCAUCACAAUGCAUGUGCUAGAGAUUUAAAUGAUCAUUUCAGGCUUUGUUUGACUGGAGGGCAGAUUGCCAACCAUCUGCGCUAUUGGAAGAAGAAGUGGGCAAAGAUAAUUAGACUUAAAAAUUUCCUAAGUGGUGCACUUUGGGAUGAAGUUAACUUUAUUAUUGGACUUGAUCAUGAGCACUAUACUGAGCAUAUUAAGGGAGAUGUUGAGUUCCUAAACAAACCCAUAGAGCACUACACUGAGAUGGCCGCGAUAUUUGGUAACAGUUUGGCUACCGGACAGUACGCUAAAGGAUCAAAUGAACUUCUAGCGAAAGGUGCUCUAGAAAUUGAUGAUGAUAUUGUUGAUGAGGAUGCUCCAGCUACACCAACUACUCCAGCUACUCCAUCUUCAACUGUCCGUGACCCCUCGGUCCCCAAAGCAGCAAAGAAAGCAAAAACUUAUGCACAACAAAGCAAUGAUAAGCUGAUGGCAACAUUCACGGCUAUUGGUGAUACGAUUGCUAAUGCUAUAGUUGCAGCUGGUAAGUCCGAUGAUGAGUUGCCUGCUGGACUUUGGAACAACAUCAAAGACAUUCCUGGUUUCCAACCGGCACAUCUUUCUCACUACUAUGCGCAUUUGGUUGAGAAUGUUCGAAUUGCACGUGCUUUCCACUCACUGACUUUGACAACAAGCUGA